GCCAGUGUAGUGUAGUGGUUUGAGCAUUCGACUAGGACACUGGGAGACCAGGAUUCAAAUCCCUGCUUAGCCA
This 73-nucleotide transfer RNA is filed under the name Phrynosoma platyrhinos (Desert horned lizard). RNAcentral's name for it is "tRNA-OTHER". The record is from RNAcentral. Lineage: Eukaryota; Metazoa; Chordata; Lepidosauria; Squamata; Phrynosomatidae.